RNAcentral lists this ribosomal RNA (433 nucleotides) under uncultured bacterium. RNAcentral's name for it is "partial 16S ribosomal RNA". It matches the Rfam family "Bacterial small subunit ribosomal RNA", at positions 39 to 507 of the family's 1533-position model. The record is from RNAcentral.
GGGGGGGGGGGGGGGGGGGGGGGGGGGGGGGGGGUCGGGGGGGGGGUGCGGGUGUGGUGGCGCGGGGGUGGGUGGGGGUUGGGGACCUGCCCUUAGUUUCUGGCUACCGCCCCGAGAGGGUUGCUCCUGCCUGUUCAUGUCGUCUGGCCGAAGAUUUAUCGCCUUUGUAUGUGCCAGCGUUGGAUUAGCUAGUUGGUAGGGUAAAAGCCUACCCAGGCGACGAUCCCUCGCUGGUCUGAGAGGAUGAGCAGCCACACUGGGACUGAGACACGGCCCAGACUCCUACGGGAGGCAGCAGUGGGGAAUAUUGGACAAGGGGCGAAAGCCUGAUCCAGCAAUGCCGCGUGAGUGAUGAAGGCCUUAGGGUUGUAAAGCUCUUUUACCCGGGAUGAGAAUGACAGUACCGGGAGAACAAGCUCCGGCUAAAUCCGUG